Molecule: non-coding RNA, 131 nt
Organism: Brachypodium distachyon (stiff brome)
Lineage: Eukaryota; Viridiplantae; Streptophyta; Magnoliopsida; Poales; Poaceae
Source: Rfam
CAUAUACUCCCUCCGUUCCAUAAUUCUUGUCUCAAAUUUGCCAAAAAAUGGAUGUAUCUAUUCCUAUUCCUAAAAAGCAUCUAGAUACAUGUAAUAUUUCGACAAGAAUUAUGAAACGGAGGGAGUACCUU